GUGGCUUCCGUUCCUUUGAAAGGCUGGGAUUACUUCCUGAAUUCGGACCAACCAGAACUGGCUUGAAGAAGCAGGCAGUUAGCCCCGGGGAUACUUACAUGCUGCUGCUUGACUCUGGUGAUUCUUGCUCACUGGACCAUACCCACCUUUCCAAUUGGCUGGUUCCCAGGGAUGCAUCCACUCCUGCCUGGGAGACUGUGGCCUGCCUUGCCCAGUCAUUCAUCUGUUAGAGUGGUUGGACCUCUUCUCAGCCCUGAUCAAGGGCCCCACUCGAACCCCCUAUGAAGAUGGCCUCUACCUGUUCGACAUCCAGCUCCCCAACAUCUACCCAGCUGUGCCCCCCCCCG
Long non-coding RNA from Nannospalax galili (Upper Galilee mountains blind mole rat), 347 nucleotides. RefSeq lists it as uncharacterized. The record is from RefSeq and is a predicted model, not a curated record. Lineage: Eukaryota; Metazoa; Chordata; Mammalia; Rodentia; Spalacidae. The transcript has 3 exons.